Molecule: ribosomal RNA, 699 nt
Filed under: uncultured bacterium
Lineage: Bacteria
Description: bacterial SSU rRNA
Rfam family: Bacterial small subunit ribosomal RNA
Source: RNAcentral
AGAGUUGAUCCUGGCUCAGGAUGAACGCUAGCGGCAGGCCUCAUACAUGCAAGUCGAGGGGCAGCAUAGCACUUCGGUGCUGAUGGCGACCGGCGCACGGGUGCGUAACGCGUAUGCAAUCUACCUUGUACAGGGGAAUAGCUUUUGGAAACGGAAAUUAAUACCCCAUAUUAUCCAUUUAUCGCAUGAUAGUUGGAUGAAAGCUCCGGCGGUACAAGAUGAGCAUGCGUCCCAUUAGCUCGUUGGUAAGGUAACGGCUUACCAAGGCUACGAUGGGUAGGGGGUCUGAGAGGAUGAUCCCCCACACUGGCACUGAGACACGGGCCAGACUCCUACGGGAGGCAGCAGUAGGGAAUAUUGGGCAAUGGGCGCAAGCCUGACCCAGCCAUGCCGCGUGCAGGAUGAAGGUCUUUAAGAUUGUAAACUGCUUUUUUAUGGGAGCAACAACUUCCUGCGGGGAGGUAUGAGAGUACCGUAAGAAUAAGCACCGGCUAACUCCGUGCCAGCAGCCGCGGUAAUACGGAGGGUGCAAGCGUUAUCCGGAUUUAUUGGGUUUAAAGGGUACGUAGGCGGCAUUGUAAGUCAGUGGUGAAAGCCAACAGCUUAACUGUUGAAUUGCCAUUGAAACUGCUUUGCUUGAGUGCAGUCGAGGUAGGUGGAAUUCCAUAUGUAGUGGUGAAAUGCUUAGAUAUAUGGAGG